This 69-nucleotide transfer RNA is filed under the name Amazonsprattus scintilla (Rio Negro pygmy anchovy). RNAcentral describes it as "tRNA-Asp". Lineage: Eukaryota; Metazoa; Chordata; Actinopteri; Clupeiformes; Engraulidae. The record is from RNAcentral.
GAGGUGCUAGUAAAACAAUUACCUUGUUUUGUCAAGACAAAAUUGUGGGUUAGAGCCCCACGUACCUUA